AGCUGGCCCAAGUGCAGUGCUGUUUACAACUAAAUGAUCAUAACCAGUUACAGAUUUCUUUGUUCCUUUCUCCAUUUCCACAGAUUCACUUGACUAGACUUAUU
Molecule: Y RNA, 104 nt
Filed under: Marmota marmota marmota (Alpine marmot)
Lineage: Eukaryota; Metazoa; Chordata; Mammalia; Rodentia; Sciuridae
Description: Y RNA (ENSMMMG00000007730.1)
Rfam family: Y RNA
About the family: Y RNAs are components of the Ro ribonucleoprotein particle (Ro RNP), in association with Ro60 and La proteins. The Y RNAs and Ro60 and La proteins are well conserved, but the function of the Ro RNP is not known. In humans the RNA component can be one of four small RNAs -- hY1, hY3, hY4 and hY5.
Source: RNAcentral